GACGAACGCUGGCGGCGUGCUUAACACAUGCAAGUCGAACGGUGAACCAGAGCUUGCUCUGGGGAUCAGUGGCGAACGGGUGAGUAACACGUGGGCAACCUGCCCCAGACUCUGGGAUAACCUCGGGAAACCGAUGCUAAUACCGGAUACGACCACUUCGGACAUCCGACGGUGGUGGAAAGUUUUUCGGUCUGGGAUGGGCCCGCGGCCUAUCAGCUAGUUGGUGGGGUAAUGGCCUACCAAGGCGACGACGGGUAGCCGGCCUGAGAGGGCGACCGGCCACACUGGAACUGAGACACGGUCCAGACUCCUACGGGAGGCAGCAGUGGGGAAUAUUGCACAAUGGGCGAAAGCCUGAUGCAGCGACGCCGCGUGAGGGACGACGGCCUCGGUUGUAAACCGUACUUCUAGCAGGACGAAGCGAAAGUAGACUGUACCUGCGAAGAAGCACCGGCUAACUACGUGCACGCAGCCGCGGUAAAGUCAACGUCG
Molecule: ribosomal RNA, 492 nt
Filed under: uncultured bacterium
Lineage: Bacteria
Description: bacterial SSU rRNA
Rfam family: Bacterial small subunit ribosomal RNA
Source: RNAcentral